ACGCUGGCGGCGUGCCUAAUACAUGCAAGUUGAACGCUUGGUUUUCACCGAAGCUUGCUUCACCGAAAUCAAGAGUAGCGAACGGGUGAGUAACGCGUGGGUAACCUACCUAUCAGCGGGGGAUAACUAUUGGAAACGAUAGCUAAUACCGCAUAACAAUGUUGGAUGCAUAUUCGACAUUUGAAAGUACCAACUGGUACACUGAGAGAUGGACCCGCGUUGUAUUAGCUAGUUGGUAGUGUAAUGGACUACCAAGGCGAUGAUACAUAGCCGACCUGAGAGGGUGAUCGGCCACAUUGGGACUGAGACACGGCCCAAACUCCUACGGGAGGCAGCAGUAGGGAAUCUUCGGCAAUGGACGAAAGUCUGACCGAGCAACGCCGCGUGAGUGAAGAAGGUUUUCGGAUCGUAAAACUCUGUUGUUAGAGAAGAACGUUGCAUAGAGUGGAAAAUUAUGCAAGUGACGGUAUCUAACCAGAAAGGGACGGCUAACUACGUG
RNAcentral lists this ribosomal RNA (499 nucleotides) under uncultured bacterium. Its description in RNAcentral is "bacterial SSU rRNA". It matches the Rfam family "Bacterial small subunit ribosomal RNA", at positions 33 to 507 of the family's 1533-position model. The record is from RNAcentral.